GACGAACGCUGGCGGCGUGCUUAACACAUGCAAGUCGAACGGAAAGGCCCUGCUUUUGUGGGGUGCUCGAGUGGCGAACGGGUGAGUAACACGUGAGUAACCUGCCCUUGACUUUGGGAUAACUUCAGGAAACUGGGGCUAAUACCGGAUAGGAGCUCCUGCUGCAUGGUGGGGGUUGGAUAGUUUCGGCGGUUGGGGAUGGACUCGCGGCUUAUCAGCUUGUUGGUGGGGUAGUGGCUUACCAAGGCUUUGACGGGUAGCCGGCCUGAGAGGGUGACCGGCCACAUUGGGACUGAGAUACGGCCCAGACUCCUACGGGAGGCAGCAGUGGGGAAUAUUGCACAAUGGGCGGAAGCCUGAUGCAGCAACGCCGCGUGCGGGAUGACGGCCUUCGGGUUGUAAACCGCUUUCGCCUGUGACGAAGCGUGAGUGACGGUAAUGGGUAAAGAGGCACCGGCUAACUACGUG
RNAcentral lists this ribosomal RNA (468 nucleotides) under uncultured bacterium. RNAcentral's name for it is "partial 16S ribosomal RNA". It matches the Rfam family "Bacterial small subunit ribosomal RNA", at positions 28 to 507 of the family's 1533-position model. The record is from RNAcentral.